RNAcentral lists this ribosomal RNA (570 nucleotides) under bacterium fme09x26p189. Its description in RNAcentral is "bacterial SSU rRNA". It matches the Rfam family "Bacterial small subunit ribosomal RNA", at positions 76 to 646 of the family's 1533-position model. The record is from RNAcentral.
GAGCUUGCUCCGCUGACGACCGGCGAACGGGUGCGUAACGCGUAUAGAAUCUACCUCUUACUAAGGGAUAGCCCAGAGAAAUUUGGAUUAAUAUCUUAUAGUAUGUUAACUUGGCAUCAAGAUAACAUUAAAGGUUACGGUAAGAGAUGACUAUGCGUCCUAUUAGCUAGAUGGUGUGGUAACGGCACACCAUGGCAACGAUAGGUAGGGGCCCUGAGAGGGGGAUCCCCCACACUGGUACUGAGACACGGACCAGACUCCUACGGGAGGCAGCAGUGAGGAAUAUUGGACAAUGGAGGCAACUCUGAUCCAGCCAUGCCGCGUGCAGGAAGACUGCCCUAUGGGUUGUAAACUGCUUUUAUACAGGAAGAAACACUCUCACGUGUGAGAGCUUGACGGUACUGUAAGAAUAAGGAUCGGCUAACUCCGUGCCAGCAGCCGCGGUAAUACGGAGGAUCCAAGCGUUAUCCGGAAUCAUUGGGUUUAAAGGGUCCGUAGGUGGAUAAUUAAGUCAGAGGUGAAAUCCUGCAGCUCAACUGUAGAAUUGCCUUUGAUACUGGUUGUCUUGAG